Molecule: ribosomal RNA, 253 nt
Filed under: uncultured bacterium
Lineage: Bacteria
Description: partial 16S ribosomal RNA
Rfam family: Bacterial small subunit ribosomal RNA
Source: RNAcentral
UACAGAGGGUGCGAGCGUUGUUCGGAAUUAUUGGGCGUAAAGAGCUCGUAGGCGGCUUGUUGCGUCGGCUGUGAAAACCCAUGGCUUAACCGUGGGCUUGCAGCCGAUACGGGCAGGCUAGAGUUCGGUAGGGGAGACUGGAAUUCCCAGUGUAGAGGUGAAAUUCGUAGAUAUUGGGAAGAACACCAGUGGCGAAGGCGGCUAUCUGGACCGGUACUGACGCUGAGGCGCGAAAGCGUGGGGAGCAAACAGG